RNAcentral lists this unclassified non-coding RNA (343 nucleotides) under soil metagenome. RNAcentral describes it as "partial contains 5.8S ribosomal RNA, internal transcribed spacer 2, and large subunit ribosomal RNA". The stretch from base 1 to 120 matches the Rfam family "5.8S ribosomal RNA", at positions 35 to 154 of the family's 154-position model. The record is from RNAcentral.
GAUGAAGAACGUAGCGAAAUGCGAUAAGUAAUGUGAAUUGCAGAAUCCAGUGAAUCAUCGAAUCUUUGAACGCACAUUGCGCCCGCCAGCAUUCUGGCGGGCAUGCCUGUUCGAGGGUCAUUUCAACCCUCGACCUCCCCUUGGGGAGGUCGGCGUUGGGGACCGGCAGCACACCGCCGGCCCUGAAAUGGAGUGGCGGCCCGUCCGCGGCGACCUCUGCGUAGUAAUACAGCUCGCACCGGAACCCCGACGCGGCCACGCCGUAAAACACCCAACUUCUGAACGUUGACCUCGAAUCAGGUAGGACUACCCGCUGAACUUAAGCAUAUCAAUAAGCGGAGGA